This 91-nucleotide microRNA precursor is filed under the name Canis lupus familiaris (dog). Its description in RNAcentral is "mir-8799 microRNA precursor family". It matches the Rfam family "mir-8799 microRNA precursor family". The record is from Rfam by way of RNAcentral. Lineage: Eukaryota; Metazoa; Chordata; Mammalia; Carnivora; Canidae. RNAcentral also lists the same sequence under 1 other name.
UGGGGGAGGCAGGAUCCUGGGCUGUGCCCCCCGGCGCCCUGCCAUCCGGGGCCUGUGCUGCUGGAAUCGCGCUCCUGGGCCAGGGCUCCCG